UCUUCAUUCCUCGUACUCUCUCACCGGUCAGAGUGACGAGACAGCACGCGAAAUAAAGAGA
RNAcentral lists this microRNA precursor (61 nucleotides) under Pristionchus pacificus. RNAcentral describes it as "mir-8364 microRNA precursor family". It matches the Rfam family "mir-8364 microRNA precursor family". Lineage: Eukaryota; Metazoa; Nematoda; Chromadorea; Rhabditida; Neodiplogasteridae. The record is from Rfam by way of RNAcentral.